AGUUGAAGUUUCGUCUUAACACACCUACUCCAUAUGUCUUUAUGUUGAGAUUUCUCAAGGCUGCUCAGUCAGAUACAAAGGAAGAAGACAAUGAAGAUGAGUUGAUUGGCAUGUUGGGCAUGUGGUAGAGCUAACUCCUAUAAUGACGGAUGGAUUUUAUAUCUCAUACUCUGGACACAUCUCAUUUCUUUAUUCACAAGUAGCAGGAUAAACAGACUUGAUUGAUGCUAAGUGGGAAGAUGAGGAUCUUUUAAAAAGCUCUUCAUACAACAUGAGCACAGCAAUAAUUUGCAAAUGAGUCAAUAGACUGAGGAACAAGAAAAUUUAUCUCCUUCAAUUAUGUCUG
Rosa rugosa (rugosa rose) is the source of this 346-nucleotide long non-coding RNA. RefSeq lists it as uncharacterized. The transcript is spliced from 3 exons. The record is from RefSeq and is a predicted model, not a curated record. Lineage: Eukaryota; Viridiplantae; Streptophyta; Magnoliopsida; Rosales; Rosaceae.